Trichosurus vulpecula (common brushtail) is the source of this 274-nucleotide non-coding RNA. RefSeq annotates it as small Cajal body-specific RNA 6. Lineage: Eukaryota; Metazoa; Chordata; Mammalia; Diprotodontia; Phalangeridae. The record is from RefSeq and is a predicted model, not a curated record. The transcript has a single exon.
GGUCAAUGAUGAAUAGUAAAAGGUCUGAUUACCCCGAGAUGACUGCUCACCCUCCCAAUUCCCAGCUGCCUCUUUGCUGUCAGGCUCUAGUGGUGCCACGACUGAGCAGAGGCCUGCUGACAUCAUGGGACGCCCCAUGCGUGUGAGUGUGUUUGCUAGAAUUUCAGCGAAUGCACCACUGUGGUUGGCAUCCAACAGUGGGAGUCGGCAAGGAAUAAGGGCUUGUGGGAGCACAUCUCCUGUGGGUCUGAUCUGAAACUUUCGUACUGAGGCC